GACAGAGGGUGCAAACGUUUGUUCGGAAUUACUGGGCGUAAAGCGCGUGUAGGCGGUCGGGCAAGUCGGAUGUGAAAGCCCAGGGCUCAACCCUGGAAGUGCACUCGAUACUGCUCGGCUAGAGUCCCGGAGAGGAUGGUGGAACUCUCGGUGUAGAGGUGAAAUUCGUAGAUAUCGAGAAGAACACCGGUGGCGAAGGCGGCCAUCUGGACGGUGACUGACGCUGAGACGCGAAAAGCGUGGGG
Molecule: ribosomal RNA, 245 nt
Filed under: uncultured bacterium
Lineage: Bacteria
Description: partial 16S ribosomal RNA
Rfam family: Bacterial small subunit ribosomal RNA
Source: RNAcentral